Long non-coding RNA from Oncorhynchus keta (chum salmon), 2512 nucleotides. RefSeq lists it as uncharacterized. The transcript has 5 exons. The record is from RefSeq and is a predicted model, not a curated record. NCBI's taxonomy places the organism in Eukaryota, Metazoa, Chordata, Actinopteri, Salmoniformes, Salmonidae.
GUAGCAUUAUUGCUAUUAUAAACUGGUUAACAGCGUAAUGUUGUCAUACCCGUGGUAUACGGUCUAAUAUACCACGGCUAUCAGCCAAUAAGCAUUCAGGGCUCGAAUCACCCAGUUUCUAAAUAUAUAUAUAAUGAGGGUAAUUCAUAUUGAAGGGAAGAGGUUGUGUGUUUGUCUGUUAUGGGGGUCAGUGGUAAUAACUAGAGAGGGUUGAUAUGAUUCUGUUAUGGGGGUCAGUGGUGAUAAAUGUAAUCACUCUGUUCCUGGAGAGCUACCCUCCUGUAGGUUUUAACUCCAACCCUGUUCCUGGAGAGAUACCCUCCUGUAGGUUUUAACUCCAACCCUGUUCCUGGAGAGAUACCCUCCUGUAGGUUUUAAUUCCAACCCUGUUCCUGGAGAGCUACCCUCCUGUAGGUUUUAAUUCCAACCCUGUUCCUGGAGAGAACCUACAGGAGGGCAUCUCUCCAGGAACAGGGUUGGAGUUAAAACCUACAGGAGGGUAUCUCUCCAGGAACAGGGUUGGAGAUAAAACCUAGAGGAGGGUAGGGGCCCAGGUUCCUGUUAGUUUUAUUCUGACACCCUGUCCUAUUCCCUAUUUUGUGCAGUGUGCACUAUAUUUGACCAGAGCCUCUGUAGGGAAUAGGGUGCCACAACAUUCUGUUUCCAUGGUGACGUGGAGCUCAGCUUGUCUCGUUGGAAGGCAACACACAUAAUGCCCUUUUUUUCUUUUUACAAGGUUACUUAAAAAAAAGGUUUUUAAGUUAAGCACUUGAGUUUCAUAUGGUAAUCGUAAAUAAAAAAACUAUUUCUACUUCCUGCAUUCAGAAAGAGUUUAAACAUGGCGAUAUCCAGCUGUUGUCAUUUUCAAUUUAAGGAAAUCGCCUGUUUGAGUGUUCGUCCCAAAUGGCACCCGAUUCCCUAUGUAGUGCACUACUUUUGACCAGGGCCUAGAGGGUGCCGUUUGGGAUGAACGCUGGGACAGAUGGGACUCCAUUGUUUAACAUAAAAGGGCUAUCGCCUCAUUGGUCCCUCUCAUGUAACCAAUGGCCUGAAGGAUGUUUUACGUUUGUUUGUGACAAAAUGUUGUUUUAAAUUGUCAAUUUGUUUAAUUGUUCAUGAAUAGGUUCAUUCUUUCCCACCUGUCCUGAGGUUGGUUGGUUUCUAAUUGCGUAGAUGGAAUGAUUAAAUAUCUGUCUUUAAAAAUAAAAAAAUCUCUUAUUUUUUCAUUUAGUGGAAUUCAACCACUUUUCCGUAAGUUGUGGUCUAUAUAGGGGCGGCAGGUAGCCUAGUGGUUAGAGUGUAGGGGCGGCAGGUAGCCUAGUGGUUAGAGUGUAGGGGCGGCAGGUAGCCUAGUGGUUAGAGUGUAGGGGCGGCAGGUAGCCUAGUGGUUAGAGUGUAGGGGCGGCAGGUAGCCUAGUGGUUAGAGUGUAGGGGCGGCAGGUAGCCUAGUGGUUAGAGUGUAGGGGCGGCAGGUAGCCUAGUGGUUAGAGUGUAGGGGCGGCAGGUAGCCUAGUGGUUAGAGUGUAGGGGCGGCAGGUAGCCUAGUGGUUAGAGUGUAGGGGCGGCAGGUAGCCUAGUGGUUAGAGUGUAGGGGCGGCAGGUAGCCUAGUGGUUAGAGUGUAGGGGCGGCAGGUAGCCUAGUGGUUAGAGUGUAGGGGCGGCAGGUAGCCUAGUGGUUAGAGUGUAGGGGCGGCAGGCAGCCUAGUGGUUAGAGUGUAGGGGCGGCAGGUAGCCUAGUGGUUAGAGUGUAGGGGCGGCAGGUAGCCUAGUGGUUAGAGUGUAGGGGCGGCAGGUAGCCUAGUGGUUAGAGUGUAGGGGCGGCAGGCAGCCUAGUGGUUAGAGUGUAGGGGCGGCAGGUAGCCUAGUGGUUAGAGUGUAGGGGCGGCAGGUAGCCUAGUGGUUAGAGUGUAGGGGCGGCAGGUAGCCUAGUGGUUAGAGUGUAGGGGCGGCAGGUAGCCUAGUGGUUAGAGUGUAGGGGCGGCAGGUAGCCUAGUGGUUAGAGUGUAGGGGCGGCAGGCAGCCUAGUGGUUAGAGUGUAGGGGCGGCAGGCAGCCUAGUGGUUAGAGUGUAGGGGCGGCAGGCAGCCUAGUGGUUAGAGUGUAGGGGCGGCAGGUAGCCUAGUGGUUAGAGUGUAGGGGCGGCAGGUAGCCUAGUGGUUAGAGUGUAGAGGCGGCAGGCAGCCUAGUGGUUAGAGUGUAGGGGCGGCAGGUAGCCUAGUGGUUAGAGUGUAGGGGCGGCAGGCAGCCUAGUGGUUAGAGUUGGGCCAGUAAUCGAAAGGUUGCUAGAUUGGAUCCCCCGAGCUGACGAGGUAAAAAUCUGUCGUUCUGCCCCUAAACAAGGCAGUUUAACCCACUGUUCCUAGGCCAUCAUUGUAAAUAAGAAUGUGUUCUUAACUGACUUGCCUGGUUAAAUAUAAGGGAUGCCAUUUGGGACAAACUAAGUUGUAUACUGGAGAUGAUGAAUGAGGUUUAACAGUGGUGGAAUGUCCCCUUUAAUUAAACUGGUAAUACUA